RNAcentral lists this ribosomal RNA (497 nucleotides) under uncultured bacterium. Its description in RNAcentral is "partial 16S ribosomal RNA". It matches the Rfam family "Bacterial small subunit ribosomal RNA", at positions 28 to 507 of the family's 1533-position model. The record is from RNAcentral.
GAUGAACGCUGGCGGCGUGCCUAAUACAUGCAAGUCGAGCGAACGGACGAGAAGCUUGCUUCUCUGAUGUUAGCGGCGGACGGGUGAGUAACACGUGGAUAACCUACCUAUAAGACUGGGAUAACUUCGGGAAACCGUAGCUAAUACCGGAUAAUAUUUUGAACCGCAUGGUUCAAAAGUGAAAGACGGUCUUGCUGUCACUUAUAGAUGGAUCCGCGCUGCAUUAGCUAGUUGGUAAGGUAACGGCUUACCAAGGCAACGAUGCAUAGCCGACCUGAGAGGGGGGUCGGCCACACGAGAAGUUGGACAGCGUCCCGACUCCUACGGGAGGCAGCAGUAGGGAAUCUUCCGCAAUGGGCGAAAGCCUGACGGAGCAACGCCGCGUGAGUGAUGAAGGUCUUCGGAUCGUAAAACUCUGUUAUUAGGGAAGAACAUAUGUGUAAGUAACUGUGCACAUCUUGACGGUACCUAAUCAGAAAGCCACGGCUAACUACGUG